This 524-nucleotide ribosomal RNA is filed under the name uncultured bacterium. RNAcentral's name for it is "bacterial SSU rRNA". It matches the Rfam family "Bacterial small subunit ribosomal RNA", at positions 777 to 1301 of the family's 1533-position model. The record is from RNAcentral.
AAUAGAUACCCAGGUAGUCCACGCCGUAAACGAUGAGUGCUAAGUGUUAGAGGGUUUCCGCCCUUUAGUGCUGAAGUUAACGCAUUAAGCACUCCGCCUGGGGAGUACGGCCGCAAGGCUGAAACUCAAAGGAAUUGACGGGGGCCCGCACAAGCGGUGGAGCAUGUGGUUUAAUUCGAAGCAACGCGAAGAACCUUACCAGGUCUUGACAUCCUCUGACAACCCUAGAGAUAGGGCUUCUCCUUCGGGAGCAGAGUGACAGGUGGUGCAUGGUUGUCGUCAGCUCGUGUCGUGAGAUGUUGGGUUAAGUCCCGCAACGAGCGCAACCCUUGAUCUUAGUUGCCAGCAUUCAGUUGGGCACUCUAAGGUGACUGCCGGUGACAAACCGGAGGAAGGUGGGGAUGACGUCAAAUCAUCAUGCCCCUUAUGACCUGGGCUACACACGUGCUACAAUGGAUGGUACAAAGAGCUGCGAACCCGCGAGGGUAAGCGAAUCUCAUAAAGCCAUUCUCAGUUCGGAUUGU